AGAGAUCAUGGCUCAGAUUGAACGCUGGCGGCGUGCCUAACACAUGCAAGUCGAGCGGUAACAGGUGUAGCAAUACAUGCUGACGAGCGGCGGACGGGUGAGCAAUGUUUGGGAAUCUGCCUAUUAGUGGGGGACAACCCGGGGAAACUCGGGCUAAUACCGCAUACGCACCAUGGUGGAAAGCCGGGGACCGCAAGGCCUGGCGCUAAUAGAUGAGCCCAAAUCGGAUUAGCUAGUUGGUGGGGUAAUGGCCCACCAAGGCUACGAUCCGUAGCUGGUCUGAGAGGACGACCAGCCACACCGGAACUGAGACACGGUCCGGACUCCUACGGGAGGCAGCAGUGGGGAAUAUUGGACAAUGGGCGAAAGCCUGAUCCAGCGACGCCGCGUGGGUGAAGAAGGCCUGCGGGUUGUAAAGCCCUUUCGGUGGGGAAGAAAAGCCUCGACCUAACACGUCGGGGUCUUGACGUAACCCAAGAAAGAAGCACCGGCUAACUCUGUGCCAGCAGCCGCGGUAAUACAGAGGGUGCGAGCGUUAAUCGGAAUUACUGGGCGUAAAGCGCGCGUAGGCGGCUUUGCAAGUCGAGUGUGAAAUCCCCGGGCUUAACCCGGGAACUGCAUUCGAGACUGCAUAGCUAGAGUAUGGGAGAGGGAAGUGGAAUUUCAGGUGUAGCGGUGAAAUGCGUAGAUAUCUGAAGGAACAUCAGUGGCGAAAGCGACUUCCUGGACCAAUACUGACGCUCAUGUGCGAAAGCGUGGGGAGCAAACAGGAUUAGAUACCCUGGUAGUCCACGCCAUAAACGAUGACAACUGGAUGUCGGGAGGGUCUGCCUCUCGGUGUCGUAGCUAACGCGUUAAGUUGUCCGCCUGGGGAGUACGGCCGCAAGGUUGAAACUCAAAGGA
RNAcentral lists this ribosomal RNA (903 nucleotides) under uncultured Gammaproteobacteria bacterium. Its description in RNAcentral is "bacterial SSU rRNA". It matches the Rfam family "Bacterial small subunit ribosomal RNA", at positions 8 to 908 of the family's 1533-position model. The record is from RNAcentral. Lineage: Bacteria; Pseudomonadati; Pseudomonadota; Gammaproteobacteria.